UGAAUUCAAGUUUCCGACAUUAUUGCUAUCAAUUUCCCGAUUCCGAAUUGUCAAAUUCCGGAUGGUUAAUUUUUCAUGCCAUGAAAUGUCAAGCAUGUUAGCUCAUCUGGAACAAGAACAGAACAAAGAGCACAUCAGUUAAUCUGGAAUGAGCCAAGUUAGCUUAAUAACAAACGAUAAACAGAUUUCCCAGAAUUCUGCAUUCAAGGGUGUGAACAAAAAGACUGCAGUUUGGCAAGCAUGUAAAAUUGGCUCAUGAAUUUCAAAAGAAAUGAAAAUUCUUUAUAUGGGAUUUUCCACUUUCUCAUUCCUUACAGAAACCAGACAGAGACUAGUUGGCUAACAUGUAUUUCACAGAAAAUAGCCAGCUUUCUUUUUUUUAUUAA
Argiope bruennichi is the source of this 386-nucleotide long non-coding RNA. RefSeq lists it as uncharacterized. The record is from RefSeq and is a predicted model, not a curated record. The transcript is spliced from 3 exons. NCBI's taxonomy places the organism in Eukaryota, Metazoa, Arthropoda, Arachnida, Araneae, Araneidae.